AAGGGUGCGUUGUGGGAGGAUUAACCAUCCCCCACGACACGAGCGACAACCACCCACCAACAUCGCUUGUAGGUCCAAAAGGAAACCUUCAAUUUCGGAAAGUUUAUAAAAUGCAAGGCCCGGUAAAGUUUUUUGGGGGGCUUGGAAUUAAACCCCCUGCUCCCCCGCCUGUGCGGCCCCCGUCAAUUCCAUUUAAUUUUUACUCUUGCGACCGUACUCCCCCAGGCGGAGUACUUAUUGAGUUAGCUGCGCCAUAAGGGGCGAAAAGGCCCCAACGGUUAGCAGACAUUGUUUACGCAUGGCCUACCAGGUAUCAAUCCUGUUGCUCCCAGCUUUGCACCAUAGGUCAGGACAGCCAGAGGGUGCCUUCGCCACGGGAUUCUCCCGAUCUUACGCAUCUCACGCUACACAGGAAUCCUCUUCCUCUCCCGCACUCUAGUUAACCAGUUUCCAAUGCACCGACAAGUAAGAUCGGGGAUCUCACAUCAGAUGAAGAGCCGCCUCGCGCGCUUUACGCCCACAAAAUUUGAAAACGCCUGCACCCUCAGUAAUUCCGCGGGCGGCGGCCCAGAGUUAGCCGGUGGCUUUUUAUGAGGGAGGUCAAGAUGUCCUCUUUUAAUACAAGUCUCUUCCUUCUCACAACAAAGUUUACAACCCGAAGGCCUUCAUCACACACGCGARMAUAGGACUUSCAUACCMGGCAUGUGGUAUGGGGAGGAAAAGAUUUAUCGGGCAGGGAUGGGCUCGCGGGCUAUUAGCCUUGUUGGGGGGGGUAAUGGCCUGUCAAGGGGACGACGGGUAGCCGACCUGAGAGGGUGACCGUCGCACACUGGGACUGAGACACGGCACCAGACUCUAAUGGGAGACAGCAGUGGGGAAUAUUGCACAAUGGGCGAAAGCCGGAUGCAGACGACCCCGCGUGAGGGAUGACGGCCUUCGGGAGGUAAACGUCUCUCAGGUCUGACGAAGCUUUUGUGACGGUAUGAGCAGAAGAAACACCGGCUAAUUACUUCCCCGCACCCGCGGUAAUAAGUAGGGGGCGAGCGUUGUCCUGAAAUAUUGGGCGUAAAGAGCGGGUAGGCGGUUUGUUGCGUCUGAUGUGAAAUCCCGGGGCUUAACUCCGGGCUUGCAGUGGGUACGGGCAGGAUAGAGUAUGGGAGGGGGGACUGGAAUUCCUGGUGUAGCGGUGGAAUGCGCAGAUAUCAGGAGGGACACCGAUGGGGAAGGCAGGUCUCUGGGCCCUUACUGACACUGAGAAGGGAAAAAGUGGGGGGGGAACAGGAUUUGAUUCCCUGGUAGUCCCCCCCCUAAACCCAUUCGUUAGGUGUGGGUCCCAUUCCAAGGGGUUCGGCCGCAACUAACGCAUAAGAGCCCCCCC
This 1378-nucleotide ribosomal RNA is filed under the name Intrasporangiaceae bacterium ND6. RNAcentral's name for it is "partial 16S ribosomal RNA". The stretch from base 525 to 1378 matches the Rfam family "Bacterial small subunit ribosomal RNA", at positions 1 to 873 of the family's 1533-position model. The record is from RNAcentral. Lineage: Bacteria; Bacillati; Actinomycetota; Actinomycetes; Micrococcales; Intrasporangiaceae.